This 459-nucleotide ribosomal RNA is filed under the name uncultured bacterium. RNAcentral's name for it is "partial 16S ribosomal RNA". It matches the Rfam family "Bacterial small subunit ribosomal RNA", at positions 339 to 795 of the family's 1533-position model. The record is from RNAcentral.
CUACGGGUCGCUGCAGUAAGGAAUAUUGCGCAAUGGAGGCAACUCUGACGCAGCCAUGCCGCGUGCAGGAAGAAGGCCUUAUGGGUCGUAAACCGCUUUUAUUUAGGAAUAAACCCCCGAACGUGUUCGGGGCUGAAGGUACUAAACGAAUAAGCACCGGCUAACUCCGGGCCAGCAGCCGCGGUAAUACGGAGGGUGCAAGCGUUAUCCGGAUUUAUUGGGUUUAAAGGGUGCGCAGGCGGGCUAUUAAGUCAGUGGUGAAAUCCCGGGGCUCAACUCCGGAACUGCCAUUGAUACUGAUAGUCUUGAGUUUGGUUGAAGUGGGCGGAAUGUAGCAUGUAGCGGUGAAAUGCAUAGAUAUGCUACAGAACACCAAUCGCGAAGGCAGCUCACUAAGCCAAAACUGACGCUCAUGCACGAAAGCGUGGGGAUCAAACAGGAUUAGAUACCCCUGUAGUC